UUACACAUGCAAGUCGAGCGGUAACAUUUCUAGCUUGCUAGAAGAUGACGAGCGGCGGACGGGUGAGUAACGCGUAGGAAUCUGCCUAGUAGUGGGGGACAACAUGUGGAAACGCAUGCUAAUACCGCAUACGCCCUACGGGGGAAAGGAGGGGAUCUUCGGACCUUUCGCUAUUAGAUGAGCCUGCGUGAGAUUAGCUAGUUGGUGGGGUAAAGGCUCACCAAGGCGACGAUCUCUAGCUGGUCUGAGAGGAUGAUCAGCCACACUGGGACUGAGACACGGCCCAGACUCCUACGGGAGGCAGCAGUGGGGAAUAUUGGACAAUGGGCGCAAGCCUGAUCCAGCCAUGCCGCGUGUGUGAAGAAGGCCUUAGGGUUGUAAAGCACUUUCAGGAGUGAGGAAGGGUGAUUGGUUAAUACCCAAUUAUUUUGACGUUAACUCCAGAAGAAGCACCGGCUAACUCUGUGCCAGCAGCCGCGGUAAUACAGAGGGUGCGAGCGUUAAUCGGAAUUACUGGGCGUAAAGCGCGCGUAGGCGGUUUGUUAAGUCGGAUGUGAAAUCCCAGGGCUCAACCUUGGAAUGGCACCCGAUACUGG
Molecule: ribosomal RNA, 596 nt
Filed under: uncultured bacterium
Lineage: Bacteria
Description: bacterial SSU rRNA
Rfam family: Bacterial small subunit ribosomal RNA
Source: RNAcentral